CACCGACCUAUCUGAACAGAACCACGCGCUGUCUGUGUGGUUUCACUGUUACAAGUUUCUUGGCGACAUGGGGGAAAGUUCCUCACAUACCAACGGAAAAUGGGCUUCACAUACAUGCUGCUGUCUCAUAAUAUGGCGAAGACGAGUCACUUGAAGGCCUAACAGCUCUUAUGAGGAGCAGUCUUGCCAUAGAAGACUGAAAGAAUGAGCUGUAGAAACAACAGGGUGCCUGCUGCAGUAUGACGAGGACGCCCUGAUCAUAGAAGGUCCAGUGUCUUGGCAGGGUGAAAUGCCACUGAUAUCGUGUCCUGCAGGAUGCUGUGUCCUGCAAUCCUGUGUGCUGUGCUACAGACGCGUGUGGAGGUCAACCCGAAAUGGGCACAGUAGCGUGAAAGAGGAUCCUGGCAGGGAGACGGUAGUGUCCUGCAGGAUGGUGAUGGGCAAUCUUACAAGAGACCACAGAAAACUGAUAUAGUGUAAGAUUAUCCCUGUUGGGCUCAAUAUGUCUUGCUUAUUGAUAUAUUUGCUAUGUCAAUAUGAGGUGCAUGACGAAGUAUUUAUUUAUUUGUUGUUUCUACAGCUCCCAGAAGUGAGACUGAGUGCCUGUUGCAGUAUGACGAGGACACAGUGACCAGAGACCUUCAGUAGACCCUGCUGGCAUGAUUAGCGGCUGAAGAACAUAAUCAACAGCAAUGUUUAUAAUAUUGUACAUACCUGUAUAGUCUGCACUAAAAUGCUGUACCUGUACUAUUUUUCCUCUUACUUUCAUAUUUACUAUGAAUUGACAACUUUUACUCAAAUCCAUUUUUGUAUGUGCCCUGACUAAAACUAUCCUUAAACCUAACCUGUCAGAGGUGUAAUAACAACCUGCUCUUAGCAAUGUGGCAGCAGUCUACUUGGAUGCAGCGGGGAACAUAGAACCCUUUUUUUGAAAAAGCAUUGUAUGUUUCUGAGUUUUAUGAAUUGUGCCCUUCCCAAACCUAACCUGUCGUAGGGGCCUAUGA
Engraulis encrasicolus (European anchovy) is the source of this 1004-nucleotide long non-coding RNA. RefSeq lists it as uncharacterized. NCBI's taxonomy places the organism in Eukaryota, Metazoa, Chordata, Actinopteri, Clupeiformes, Engraulidae. The record is from RefSeq and is a predicted model, not a curated record. The transcript is spliced from 5 exons.